Molecule: ribosomal RNA, 440 nt
Filed under: uncultured bacterium
Lineage: Bacteria
Description: partial 16S ribosomal RNA
Rfam family: Bacterial small subunit ribosomal RNA
Source: RNAcentral
CCUACGGGAGGCAGCAGUGGGGAAUAUUGCACAAUGGGCGAAACCCUGAUGCAGCGACGCCGCGUGAGUGAAGAAGGAAUUCGUUAUGUAAAACUCUAUCAGUAGGGAAGAAAAUGACGGUACCUGAGUAAGAAGCCCCGGCUAACUACGUGCCAGCAGCCGCGGUAAUACGUAGGGGGCAAGCGUUAUCCGGAUUUACUGGGUGUAACGGGAGCGUAGACGGCAGUGCAAGUCUGGAGUGAAAGGCGGGGGCUCAACCCCCGGACUGCUGUGGAAACUGUACGGCUGGAGUGCAGGAGAGGUAAGUGGAAUUCCUAGUGUAGCGGUGAAAUGCGUAGAUAUUAGGAGGAACACCAGUGGCGAAGGCGGCUUACUGGACUGUAACUGACGUUGAGGCUCGAAAGCGUGGGGAGCAAACAGGAUUAGAUACCCCAGUAGUC